This is a small nucleolar RNA of 86 nucleotides. Its record names the gene U3. It matches the Rfam family "Small nucleolar RNA U3". From Rfam's summary of the family: Small nucleolar RNAs (snoRNAs) are involved in the processing and modification of rRNA in the nucleolus. The record is from Ensembl.
AAGACUAUACUUUCAGAGUUCAUUUCUGUAGUUCAUUACAAGAGAGUAUUUUUUAGGUUUAUAAACAAAAUUUGACAGAAAGCUGA